This 2199-nucleotide long non-coding RNA is filed under the name Calidris pugnax (ruff). RNAcentral's name for it is "lncRNA (ENSCPUG00000012827.1)". Lineage: Eukaryota; Metazoa; Chordata; Aves; Charadriiformes; Scolopacidae. The record is from RNAcentral.
AUGGGGGACUGGAGCAUGCCCAUCAGCUCGCUGGGCGAGGAGGUGAUGGCCCGGCUCUGCCAGCUCCUGGAUAACGCUGGCCGGGGCUGGCGCAAGCUGGCCGAGGUGGCCGGGGCGGAGAAACGCUUCAAGUGCAGCGCAGAGGAGCUGGAGAUGUGCUCGCUGAAGGUGCUGGAGCCCCAUGGCAGCCCCACGGAGUGCCUCCUGCAGCUCCUGGCCGAGCGUGACUGCACCCUCAAAUACCUGCUGGGCUGCCUGGAGAGGAUGGGGCAUACACGGGCCUGCCAGGUUCUCAGCAGCGCUGUCCAGGACAUGAUCCGCAUCACAGUGCAGCCGGAGUCGCAGGUGGUGAUGGAGGGGAUGCGGGUGUUCCUGACCUGCUGGGCCACCGGUCCCCCGGGGCUCGCCUACCAGUGGUUCUGUGGGAAGCGGGAGGUGCCUGGAGCCACGGCCCCAGAGCUGGUGAUCAACGCGGCCACCCCGGGCCAGCCCGAGUGGUACAUCUGCCGGGUGAACUGUGGGGCCGCCUUCGCCUUCUCCAGGUGGGCCCACGUCCAGGUGGAGAGGAGCAGCAGCCCCAGCUCAGGUGGGCCCCAAGAUCUGCAUCCCUGGGCUGGCACCCAUGGGGUGCCAGGGCCUGUGGGCGAGGGUCAGCUCGGCGGAUGCAGAGCCAUCGGCAACCCCCCGCCCCAGUACCAGUGGUUCAGGAACCAGCGCCCUGUGGAGGGUGCACAGGCGCCCCGGCUGCAGGUGAAGCUGGUGACGACAGCCGAGCGGGGCUGCUACUCCUGCCGCGUGUUCAACCUCUUCCACGAGGUGUGGAGCCGGGAAGUGGACGUGGAGAUCGGCCCACGGCUCUUUGCCUCCGGAGGCUCCUGGCAGGAGGGGGAUAGAGUGCCUCCCUCUCCUGUCCUGGCAGCCACCGACAAAGUGGCCCUGCUGAUCGGCAACAUGCACUACCUGCACCACAAGCAGCUGAAGGCGCCCAUGGUGGACGUGCACGCCCUCAGUGCCCUCCUCCGCCAGCUCGACUUCAAGGUGGUCUCUCUGCUGGACCUGUGCAAGGCAGAGAUGCAGAUGGCUGUCAACGAGUUCCUCCUCCUCCUCGACAAGGGUGUCUAUGGUUUGCUCUACUACGCUGGGCACGGCUAUGAAAAUUUUGGCAACAGCUUCAUGGUGCCCAUCGACGCGCCCAGCUCCUACACAUCGGCCCACUGCCUGUGCGUGCAGCGGGUGCUGCAGAGCAUGCAGCAGCGCCGCACCGGCCUCAACAUCUUCCUGCUCGACAUGUGCCGCAAGAGGAACCUCAAUGACGACAUCAUCCCGCAGGUCGGUGCGCUGCAGGUCACGGCCAACAUCGUCUUCGGCUACGCCACGUGCGCGGACGCCGAAGCCUACGAGCUGAGCCAGGGCGAGCUCUCCAACGGCAUCUUCGUCUCCUUCCUCAAGCGCUGGCUGCUGGAGGAUGAGAAGAUCACGGUGUUGCUGGACAAGGUGGCAGAGGACAUGGGCACUCUGGAGAUCACACGGGGCCGGCAGGCGUUGGAGCUCCGCAGCAACCUCUCGGAGAGACGAGCCCUGACAGACCCCAUCUGCCCCCCGGGACAGGACGAGUCCUCUGCCAGGAACCUGCAGUGGGCCAAGGCUCAUGUCCUGCCGGAGAGCCGGCACCUCCGCUUCGACUGCGGCGUCACCGUCCAGCUGGGCUUCGCCGCCGAGUUCUCCAACAUCAUGAUCAUCUACACCCGCGUGGUGGCCACCCCCGGGGAUGUCACCGAGUGCGAGGCCAAGCUCACCGACAUUCCUGAGGAGCUGGAUGUGGACCUCAAGUGCACCAACAAGGAGACCCCGGAGGAGGUGGGCAGCCCGCUGGCGCCUACCUGGAGCCUUGACUGCCCCUCCAGCUGCCUCUACAGCCGGCUCUGUGGCUUGCAGAAACUGCGGCAGGAGCUGGUGUUCACUGUCUGCCUGCAAUACCGCUACCGCGGCAUGGACGACUUCGUGGAGGAGAGGCGGGUGGUGAACGUGGGGAAGCCGCUCAUCGCCAAGCUCAAUCUGCCGCUGGCAGCCUCCCCCUCGCCCCCCGGCAGCCCCCUCGCUGCCUCCUUCCCCGGGAGCUGGGGGGCGGCAGGGGGGUCCUGGGUCAACACCCCUGAGGAGAACCUGAGCCCUGAGGUCUCCGGCUCCCACACCCUGUAA